RNAcentral lists this long non-coding RNA (1089 nucleotides) under Ananas comosus (pineapple). Its description in RNAcentral is "long non-coding RNA (ACOM_LNC017512)". Lineage: Eukaryota; Viridiplantae; Streptophyta; Magnoliopsida; Poales; Bromeliaceae. The record is from RNAcentral.
AAUUUGAUAAUGGAGAAGAUUGAAAAGCUUCCAAACUCCACUGAACACAAUGAUCAAGGACACGUAGCUUGGGAAGGUGAUAUAUACUCUCAAGUAAUUGGGGAGGAGAGACAUGGACAGGUGCGUGGAUUAGGACUUGGUCCGACGCCAACUAGCUUAUGGUCUCCCGGUUCCGUAUAUCAAUCAUCUUCAAAGGAUUUUGAGAAAAUAAAAGAACUGGAGAGAGAAAUUAAACUGAUGGAGCAAUAGCGUGUGAAGGAGAUGAAAACUAUGAAAGAAAAUCAAGAUCGUUUAGAGGCUGAAGUUGCAAUGAUGAGGUCGAUCAUAAGUAGACGAUUUCCCGAAGAUUCGGUAUCUUGUUGUUCUCGAUCCCAAGGAAAGGUAAAAGAGUUUUACUAUUUGAAAUUUUUUUGUUCCUUCUUCUUUUUAAUAUUUUUAUAUAUACUUUUAGGUCAUUUUUGAACUAGUAAAUUACUUAUUUGGUAUAGUGUGGUUGGUAAUAUUUGAAGCAAAUUACUUUAAAUCAUUAAUAUUUUCUUGUUAUCAUAACUAAUUUUUUAUUCUCAUAAUGUUCAUGAAAUAGGUUUCUGAUGCUUCUAGUUCUUAUCACGAUAUGGAUGUACAAAUUACUCGUUAAGGUAAUUAUCUUGGAGACUGUCGCUCCUCUUUCACUUCUGUCUUACCGUUAUCUUUUAGUUUGCAUAAGAAAAGAUGAAACUAUUGCACAACUAGAUGGAUUGUUAUCGUCUCUUAGUUGUGGUUUCUGUUAUCGUCUCUUAGCUGCGGUUCCGGUUUGAAAUGUUUAACAUGAACGAGUACAACUUUUCAUUUAACUAAAGCUUUAGAAUGAUUUCUUGUAAUAAAGACAUAUCAAUCUCAUAUUAUCUAAAUAGAUGAGGGUAGGUUUUUUGGGAGUUUUUGUUCUAGGCUAGUUAUACAAGCUUCUUUUUUAAUAUUUUGUCUAUCUGAUGUGCAAACUGAAAGUAAUUUGAGCUUUGAGCUUUCGCUCUAGUAAUAGAACAAGAAAUGUUAAAGAGGGAACUUUGCGGUUUCGAAUUAUUGGAGCUUCUGGUACUAAAGUGAAGUUUG